This 476-nucleotide long non-coding RNA is filed under the name Hordeum vulgare. RNAcentral describes it as "long non-coding RNA (HVUL_LNC010529)". The record is from RNAcentral. Lineage: Eukaryota; Viridiplantae; Streptophyta; Magnoliopsida; Poales; Poaceae.
UUUUCAGAGUUCAAAAAUCUGGAAUUUUCCAGCCACAUGCCCACUUUGUCUAGGCAUAGUUUGCACACACAUGUCACCAAGAUGUGAUUGACACCACUAUGGUGUUGAGUACAAACCCCUACUACUAACACACAAAGAUCCAUGCCCUUGGGCUCCAUCUAUACCAUGGAAACAAAGCCCAAACUUUCAACAAAGUGCAAAUGCAAUUCCAUAAGGUAUGCUUCUAAGAUGACAAUUACAUAGGUGAGUUUUAUGUGCACAAUGACAAAGUGACAUGGGGGUUUGAACCCCAUGUUUGUGUCAUGCACAUCAACAACACCCACACCCAUAUCACAAUAUUCCUAGUAUCAAGCACAUCACAAUGGGACUCUAUGCUAACAAGAGAGUAUGCACCCCCCACAUAUGGGCAUGUGAUGGCACACACUCUCACAUGCAUUACUAGGAUCUUCCUAGGAAUCAUGUCAUUCUCAAAAUGC